GUGAAUCAUCAAAUUUUUGAACGCAAAUUGCACUCUCCUCGGAUAGUAUGCCUGUUUGAGGGUCAGCCUAUAAAAAAUCGACAUCGGUGCUGUUUCUCGGUUGCGUUCGUCGGAAAUUGGAUCAUCUUAAAUCUUUUGGUUUUAAGCGACUUAAAAUUUUCUUUUUUGUUCCAUGAUCUUUUCUAAGAUUUAUUUCUUUACACGUUUAAGGUAUCUAUUUUUAUUAGACGUGACCAUCAUAUCGGAUCUCUCCCUUAAUCUUUCAUUAACUGAUCUCAGACAGGUAAGAG
RNAcentral lists this unclassified non-coding RNA (290 nucleotides) under Glomus sp. Its description in RNAcentral is "partial contains 5.8S ribosomal RNA and internal transcribed spacer 2". The stretch from base 1 to 65 matches the Rfam family "5.8S ribosomal RNA", at positions 84 to 154 of the family's 154-position model. The record is from RNAcentral. Lineage: Eukaryota; Fungi; Glomeromycota; Glomeromycetes; Glomerales; Glomeraceae.